This 495-nucleotide small RNA is filed under the name Histoplasma ohiense. RNAcentral's name for it is "hypothetical lncRNA". Lineage: Eukaryota; Fungi; Ascomycota; Eurotiomycetes; Onygenales; Ajellomycetaceae. The record is from RNAcentral.
CCGCAACAGUAAUAUUUUUGAAUCAUCUGAACUUCAAAAUAUCAUUAUUAUUCAACAUCAUGUCUAUCUAUAAUAUAAAGAUCAUCUAUAUACUCAGUAGAAGCAGUAGAAUCUGCAGCAGAUUGAGAUUCAUUAGAUUUAUUACAUUGUGGUUAAUUUGCAGCAGUUCUAGUGAGCUUGUGUAAUGAGUGUACUUCAAUUAACGAUUUAGCACUAUCCUAAAUACAGAUUAUGAAUUGAUUAAGAAAAGAAAGAGAAAAGAGAUCAGAAGAAAAGAUUGUAUAAAAAGAGUUCUUAUAGAGAGAAGAUUGAAACAGAAGAAUAUCAGAAGCCAUUCCACAGUGAAACAUAAAGCAGAGUACAGAGCAGAAGAAUAUUGAGAGUUAUGCAGAAGAAUUGUUAGAACUAUAUAAGUGUGAAGUAUGAAGUAGAAAAGAUUAUGUGGAAGAAUUGUUAGAGGCUACAUGAGUGUGGAGUGCAAUAACAGAGAUGAGU